This 81-nucleotide transfer RNA is filed under the name Exophiala dermatitidis. RNAcentral describes it as "tRNA-Arg". It matches the Rfam family "tRNA". Rfam says of the family: Transfer RNA (tRNA) molecules are approximately 80 nucleotides in length. Their secondary structure includes four short double-helical elements and three loops (D, anti-codon, and T loops). Further hydrogen bonds mediate the characteristic L-shaped molecular structure. tRNAs have two regions of fundamental functional importance: the anti-codon, which is responsible for specific mRNA codon recognition, and the 3' end, to which the tRNAs corresponding amino acid is attached (by aminoacyl-tRNA synthetases). tRNAs cope with the degeneracy of the genetic code in two manners: having more than one tRNA (with a specific anti-codon) for a particular amino acid; and 'wobble' base-pairing, i.e. permitting non-standard base-pairing at the 3rd anti-codon position. The record is from RNAcentral. Lineage: Eukaryota; Fungi; Ascomycota; Eurotiomycetes; Chaetothyriales; Herpotrichiellaceae. RNAcentral also lists the same sequence under 1 other name.
GGCGGCGUGGCCCAAUGGCAAGGCGCUUGACUACGAUUCGUUGGGAUCAAGAGAUUGCAGGUUCGACCCCUGCCGUCGUCA